This 253-nucleotide ribosomal RNA is filed under the name uncultured bacterium. RNAcentral describes it as "partial 16S ribosomal RNA". It matches the Rfam family "Bacterial small subunit ribosomal RNA", at positions 524 to 776 of the family's 1533-position model. The record is from RNAcentral.
UACGAAGGGGGCUAGCGUUGUUCGGAAUCACUGGGCGUAAAGGGCGCGUAGGCGGCCGUUCAAGUCGGGGGUGAAAGCCUGUGGCUCAACCACAGAAUUGCCUUCGAUACUGGACGGCUCGAGACCGGAAGAGGUCAGUGGAACUGCGAGUGUAGAGGUGAAAUUCGUAGAUAUUGGGAAGAACACCGGUGGCGAAGGCGGCUCUCUGGACCGAGACUGACGCUGAGGCGCGAAAGCGUGGGGAGCAAACAGG